UGGAAUGCAUCUGUCACUCAAUUUUCUCUUAGUCUCUAAACUAAUCUCUCUCAAAAUGUUACUCCACCAAAAUAUGAGAAACCCAUUGUUCAUGACCAUCACCUUCACAAUAAUUCUUGGAAUAGCCCUACUGCCCAGAAACGCAUUAGGUCAAAAUUGGGGGUGUAAACCAGAUGAAUGUUGUAGCGAAUUUGGGUAUUGUGGGAAGGAUAAAGAGUACUGUGGCCCUGGAUGCCAAUCGGGCCCGUGUUCCCCAACCCCUAGUGAAAAUGGACCUUAAUAAUUGCUUAGACAUGAAAGGUUUCUGAGUCCACACUUUUAAAAUUUUUUUUAAAAAAAAUCUUAUUUUUUUAUUGAUUUAAUUAAUAAAACCACACGUAUACCAGACGUAGGCAAUGAACUUUUAAAAGCAAUUAAUCACUGAAUUAUUAUAAAUUAAUCAUUUAGUAAUACCGUUAGUUUGUGCUUAUAGGUGUUGACGUGGCAUGAAACACGAUGAAAUAUUACAUAAUUUUAUACAUUUUUUGCAUUUUUUUUUAAAAAAAUGGAAAAUCAGACAAUAUAAUGAGCAUUCGUUAAAAGAAUUUGGAAUGUUGUGAGGUUUCCCCUUCUUAAAAUAUAUAGGAAAAGCGAGAAAAUAAUUUAGCGACUGAAUUAAUAAAAAAGAAUAUAAUAAUUUUUAAAAAAGCGAGAAAAUUAAUUAUAUUAUAUAUGAUUGACAAGUGCAUGAUAAUUUUAAAUUUAAUUGAUAAAGCUUAUUUAUAUAGCAUCUAAUAAAAUCUCAAUCAAAAUAAAAUUUACUGAAAAUAAUAAGUAAAAAAUUUUACUUGAAAUUUUUACCAUCUUGAAAUUAGUUUCUUAAUUAUUUGAAAUUCGAGGCAAUGAUACAAUCUUAAAAUUUAUGAUAAAUUUCAGUGAUUAGGAGAGGAAUUGAAAUUAUUAUAACCUAAAAAUAUACAGAAUUAUAGAAUGCAUGAGUAUUACGAGUGGUAAGAUAUAAUUGAAUUAUGGAUAAUUAAGCUAAAACUUUGAAAAUAAAUUUUAACGAGGAAUUGAAUUAAACAAUUUUAUGAUAUAAAAAUUUCAACUUCUAUACUAAUAUUUAAAAAUAUAAUAACUCCUAAAUUUUCAAUUACCAAAUAACAUGAGUACGCAACCACUGGUCUAUGCUCAUGGGUAGUCUUUCAACUUUCGUAACACUAUAAAAUAACCACUGCAUAUCUUAUUGGAAUGCAUCUGUCACUCAAUUUUCUCUUAGUCUCUAAACUAAUCUCUCUCAAAAUGUUACUCCACCAAAAUAUGAGAAACCCAUUGUUCAUGACCAUCACCUUCACAAUAAUUCUUGGAAUAGCCCUACUGCCCAGAAACGCAUUAGGUCAAAAUUGGGGGUGUAAACCAGAUGAAUGUUGUAGCGAAUUUGGGUAUUGUGGGAAGGAUAAAGAGUACUGUGGC
This 1452-nucleotide long non-coding RNA is filed under the name Jatropha curcas. Its description in RNAcentral is "long non-coding RNA (JCUR_LNC000491)". Lineage: Eukaryota; Viridiplantae; Streptophyta; Magnoliopsida; Malpighiales; Euphorbiaceae. The record is from RNAcentral.